UAAAUUUAGAGUUUGAUCCUAGCUCAGGAUGAACGCUGGCGGCGUGGAUGAGGCAUGCAAGUCAAACGGGCUCACUUUAUGUAGCAAUACAUGUUGUGAAUCAGUGGCAGACGAGGUAGUAACACGUAGGAACCUACUCCCAAGUCGGGAAUAAUUCCGCGAAAGCGGAACUAAUACUCGAUAAUAUCCCUGCCCCGUUUUACGGGGUGAGGAUUAAAGAAGCAAUUCGCUUAGGAAAGGGCCUGCGGAGUAUCAGCUUGUUGGUAGGGUAAUGGCCUACCAAGGCAAUGACGCUUAGGGGACCUGAGAGGGUGACCCCCACCGAUGGAACUGAGACACGGUCCAUACACCUACGGGUGGCAGUAGCCGAGAAUAUUCGACAAUGGGCGAAAGCCUGAUCGAGCGACGCCGCGUGAUGGAUGAAGUCCCUAGGGACGUAAACAUCUUUUAUGAAGGAGAAAGUAUCCCGAUUUAUCGGGGUAUUGAUAGUACUUCAUGAAUAAGGGGUUGCUAAACUCGUGCCAGCAGCAGCGGUAAUACGAGUACCCCAAGCGUUAUCCGGAAUCAUUGGGCGUAAAGGGUGUGUAGGUGGUCUGGUUAGUCUUCUGUCAAAAUCUCGGGCUCAACCCGAGACCUGCGGAGGAAACGGCCAGACUGGAGGGUGCGAGAGGUGAAUGGAACUCAUGGAGUAGGGGUGAAAUCCGUUGAUAUCAUGGGGAACACC
Molecule: ribosomal RNA, 724 nt
Filed under: bacterium
Lineage: Bacteria
Description: bacterial SSU rRNA
Rfam family: Bacterial small subunit ribosomal RNA
Source: RNAcentral